AGCGCGACGGGAUCGACCGCACGCGUCAGAACCAGGUAGUCGCGGAGCACGAUCGCCUGACGGUUCUC
RNAcentral lists this small RNA (68 nucleotides) under Rhodococcoides kyotonense. RNAcentral describes it as "Rhodococcus kyotonensis ASdes TB sRNA". It matches the Rfam family "ASdes TB sRNA". The record is from Rfam by way of RNAcentral. Lineage: Bacteria; Bacillati; Actinomycetota; Actinomycetes; Mycobacteriales; Nocardiaceae.